ACAGCAGUAAAAGUGUGAGAGAAGGAAGAGAAAAAGAGCAAUUUGCCUAAGAGGCAAAAGUGUGGAUUAAUGCCCACCUACUGCCUUUUAUUUUUGUCUUGGCUGCCUGUGAGCUCAUUGUGAAAAUUAGUUUUCACUUUUAUUAAUUUCCUGAUCUAUGGUUCCUCAUAUAAUCAUGUUCUAUAUUUGUUCAUUUAAUUACUGAGUUCCCACUUAUCUUUAGUUUUAA
This 229-nucleotide long non-coding RNA is filed under the name Pan troglodytes (chimpanzee). RNAcentral describes it as "long non-coding RNA NONPTRT013477". The record is from RNAcentral. Lineage: Eukaryota; Metazoa; Chordata; Mammalia; Primates; Hominidae.